RNAcentral lists this transfer RNA (61 nucleotides) under Echinogammarus berilloni. RNAcentral's name for it is "tRNA-Ala". Lineage: Eukaryota; Metazoa; Arthropoda; Malacostraca; Amphipoda; Gammaridae. The record is from RNAcentral.
AGGGGGUUAGUUUAUCACAGAACAUUUAAUUUGCAUUUAAACAGAACACUAGUACCUCCUU